UUUCAUCAUUCCGGUUGUUGCUCCUAGAGUAUUGUUGGUUUGAGAAAUGCCUCCCUGUCCCUUGCGCGGGAGCCUUCCGCCCAGGUGAAGGUGGGCCUUGUUGCCUUGGCGACAGCGAGUGGGGCUGAGCGGCUGCUCCGACAGCCAAUAGCAGCCUGGAGGGGCGGGGCCAGCUGGGGCCUGCGCGUCAGCGGCGGGGCUCGCAGGUGUCCGGUCUGGCCGGCCGCCCAGCCCGAUAAGCAUGCAGCUGCUGUGUUUGGUGGCCGUGGUCGGCUGUUUGCUGGUGCCCCCGGCUCAAGGCAACAAGAGUUCUGAAGAUAUCCGGUGCAAAUGCAUCUGUCCGCCGUACAGGAACAUCAGUGGACACAUUUACAACCAGAAUGUGUCGCAGAAGGACUGCAACUGCCUGCACGUGGUUGACCCCAUGCCUGUGCCCGGCCAUGACGUGGAGGCCUACUGCUUGCUGUGCGAGUGCAGGUACGAGGAGCGCAGCACCACCACCAUCAAGGUCAUCAUUGUCAUCUACCUGUCGGUGGUGGGGGCCCUCCUGCUCUACAUGACUUUCCUGAUGCUGGUGGACCCUCUGAUCCGAAAGCCGGAUGCGUACACAGAACAGCUGCACAAUGAGGAGGAGAACGAGGAUGCUCGCUCUAUGGCGGCUGCCGCGGCCUCCUUCGGGGGACCCCGCGCCAACACGGUCCUGGAACGUGUGGAAGGCGCUCAGCAGCGGUGGAAGCUGCAGGUGCAGGAGCAACGGAAGACGGUCUUCGAUCGGCACAAGAUGCUCAGCUAGAGGGCCCGGCACAGUCGGGCCAAGGACCAGCGGCCACGGCUGGAUAGAGCCAGGGGCCACUCUCCCCUCCUUCGACGCCACCCUUCCUGGGUCUUCCCUUUAAAAGCCUGUGGCGUUUUUUCCUCCUUCUGCCCCUCUUUAGAAACGUUGUUCUCAGCUGAGUUAAUUCCGGAAGCGUGAUGGGGUCCCCGAUCUCUCGUUCGCCUGCUCAGGUCUUGGGGGUUUGUGGGGGGAAGGCAGGCCAAGAGGGGAUGGAGGCGUCCGUCUCAGGCGGCCUCAGGGUUGGAAGGAGCCUCUCUCUCAUUGCUCCACCCUUGCCACCUCUCCGGCUCCAAAUCCCGGGAAGGUUCCAGCCUCUGGAAGGUGGAGCUGGGUCGUCAGGACCUCGGUGUGUGGGAGGAAAGCCUGGCCCCUGCCACCUGUGCUGCUUUCUGCUGUGGUUGUGGUGGCUGCCUUCCUCGCCACCCCGAGACGUCAGCCCCCGAGCACCCAUCCCCUCUUCCUCCUCCCUCCUCUCCUCCCCUGACGCAUGGUGGUGGCCGUGCACCCUGCCUCCUCUCGGCCCGGCCCUCCCGCCCACUCAGGAGGCCAGGCAGGCCCCUUGCCUCCCUGUGUGUGUUGUCACUGAGCCAGACGGGUGGUGGGACCACGCGGCACAAGGCCGGGCGGUGGCUCUGAAUGCCACAGCCUUGGGGCACCACGCAUCCCUGAAUUUCCUUGUAGCGUGCAUGGGCAGACAUGUUUGUCUACCGUUGUCUGUAAGUCAAGGAAGCCAUCAUUAAAUUGUCUUAUUUCUCACUUUCUGGAUUUCAAGAGACUUAGAGAACUGAGUGUCCCACGUGUGGCCUGGUGAGUCCUGUGUCCCAGAGAGGGGACGGAGCGUCAUCUUGGCGGGUCCAGAAGAGAGGCAGACGUGGCAGUCCUGGUGGCCAGGGCAGAGCCCACGGG
This is a long non-coding RNA of Equus caballus (horse), 1741 nucleotides long. Lineage: Eukaryota; Metazoa; Chordata; Mammalia; Perissodactyla; Equidae. The record is from Ensembl.